AGUCUGAUCUAGCCAUGCCGCGUGCAGUGAUGACUGCCCUAUGGAUGUAAGCUGUUUCUAUACAGAGAACGCACAGUACGCUGUACAAGAUUGACAGGACUGUACCAAUACAGAUCG
Molecule: ribosomal RNA, 117 nt
Filed under: uncultured bacterium
Lineage: Bacteria
Description: partial 16S ribosomal RNA
Source: RNAcentral